GCCUGGGUGGCUCAGUUGGUUAAGCGUCCGACUUCGGCUCAGGUCAUGAUCUCGCGGUCCGUGGGUUCGAGCCCCGUGCCAGGCU
Transfer RNA from Felis catus (domestic cat), 85 nucleotides. It matches the Rfam family "tRNA". From Rfam's summary of the family: Transfer RNA (tRNA) molecules are approximately 80 nucleotides in length. Their secondary structure includes four short double-helical elements and three loops (D, anti-codon, and T loops). Lineage: Eukaryota; Metazoa; Chordata; Mammalia; Carnivora; Felidae. The record is from Rfam.